RNAcentral lists this transfer RNA (63 nucleotides) under Hemiselmis tepida. It matches the Rfam family "tRNA", at positions 6 to 65 of the family's 71-position model. Rfam says of the family: Transfer RNA (tRNA) molecules are approximately 80 nucleotides in length. Their secondary structure includes four short double-helical elements and three loops (D, anti-codon, and T loops). Further hydrogen bonds mediate the characteristic L-shaped molecular structure. tRNAs have two regions of fundamental functional importance: the anti-codon, which is responsible for specific mRNA codon recognition, and the 3' end, to which the tRNAs corresponding amino acid is attached (by aminoacyl-tRNA synthetases). tRNAs cope with the degeneracy of the genetic code in two manners: having more than one tRNA (with a specific anti-codon) for a particular amino acid; and 'wobble' base-pairing, i.e. permitting non-standard base-pairing at the 3rd anti-codon position. Lineage: Eukaryota; Cryptophyceae; Cryptomonadales; Hemiselmidaceae. The record is from RNAcentral.
GGUAAUUUAGUGGAUAAAAUUUUUGCCUUCUAAGCAAAAAAUCGUAGGUUCAAAUCCUACUCG